Octodon degus (degu) is the source of this 2695-nucleotide long non-coding RNA. RefSeq lists it as uncharacterized. The transcript is spliced from 3 exons. The record is from RefSeq and is a predicted model, not a curated record. NCBI's taxonomy places the organism in Eukaryota, Metazoa, Chordata, Mammalia, Rodentia, Octodontidae.
CGUUUGUGUAUGUUUUAUUUAUACAAGUGGGGUGCGUGUAAGUAAAAUACUUUUCAUCUUUUGAUGUUAUCUUUAUUUUUUAAACUGACUGGCAGCUUAGACCCCUCACGCACGAAAUUAAUGAGGAAGCUGAGAUUACGUGUUACUCAGAAGUGUAAUUAAAUGUUUAAAGCCGCGUUAAGUCACAAGAGGAUUGCCCAAAAGGAGACAAAUUUUCUUUUGUCACCCUGGCAGGUAUAGAAGAUUGAGUGCUAGGAUUAAUCACUCGUAUUUUUAUUGAUAGCGUUGUAUCCCAUGUAACUUGCUUUUCUUUUCCUUUUUCUUUCUUUUUUAAAAAUUUUUGGUGGAGCUCAGGAUUGAACCCAGACCUUUGAAUAGUAGGGAAGCCCUCUACCACUGAGCUGUCGUCCUACUCAGUGUAUUUCCUUUAACAUUUUUGGUUUUACUUUUUUAAGUGCUUUAAAUCCAGUACUUGGAAUUUUGAAAAUGAAUUUAUGUGCAGCUUAAUAUAGUGUAGAAGGUUUGGAGGCAGACCACAAAACUCUGCCUGGCUGAAACUAUUUGACUUUCUGGUUUUUAACAUCUGUAAAAUAAGGAUAUUAAUAGUAAUUUUCUCCUGGGUUGUUACAGAAGUAAUGAGCAAGCUGGCUUUUGUCGUCACUUCCCACAUACUAUAUAAUUAUAUAAAUUUAUGCUUGAGGACAUGGACCAGUUCUUUUAUUUUUUGAAAGUUUAAAAUCAUAAAAUCUAUAAAAUUCAAGUAUGCUGACUUACCUAUCUAAUGGCUGAUAAAUAGUGGGCUGCUAAAACAUUUAUAUGCUUUAUAAAAUUGAAGAGUUGGUGAUGCUUAAGUUUUCUAAAUAUCAAGGUAAAAGUAAAUGUCUACGUAAAAUGUUGCAUAUAUUGGGUUUACAGUUUUAUAACAAUUGACUAAAUCUUUGGACAGCAUAAAAGGAACUUUUUAAGUUUCACAAAGAGACUGCCACACCAUUGAGGAAAAAAAAACUUGAAAAACAUGCUAGACAGUACAUGACCCCAUGCUUCACAAAAAUUAUAAAAAACUAACAUCUUGGGAAAAAGUUAUGAACAGAGAACCAGUCUACGAUUUGUAAAAAUGGCCAGCAUGUGGCAAACCAAAGACAGAAAUUCUUAACUUUCACCUCUUUCACUAUUUCAGCCAAGUUGUUUGGAUCAGUUCAUCUACAGCUCAAAGCAGAAAAUACUGUUUUAAUUAUUCUUUCCAAGCAUUCAUGUACUGUAAUAAAACGAUAGCUUAAUAUUCUACUUAGUUGAGGCAUCGGUCCCAGCAAUAAUAGAAAGGUUUUCAGCUUUUUGAGUAAAAUGACAGGCCUCUCUCUUCUACCCAUAAAAUUAUUAACAUGGGUUAGGCAAACUACAGUGUGGGGCCAAACGUGUUUUCUAUGACCACUACCUACCACUAGACCUGAUUUGAGAAUUGUCAAAUUAUUCCAUGGUCUUCAAAGGGCAUGGUUUUUAUCUCUAUAGUCUUGAAGGUUUUUGUUUUUAGGGGGAGGGGUUUUAAGUACUUUGGAAUUAGAAGAAAACUUUUUUGUAGUUAUGGAAAUUAAAAGUCCUGUUCUCUUUGCUGUGUGAAUUGAUAUUACCUUUCAAAUACAUUUGGUUUUUGUUUGUUUCAUCUUGUGGGUUUUUUAUGGUGUUAGCAAUCAAAGCCAGGCCCUUGCACAUGUUAGACUAGUGGUCUACCCGAGCGUCAUCUCCCAGGGGUCCCUUAGCUACAAUUUUGAAAACAAGAAUCUAUGUGUGGUUUUAAUUCAUAAGCUAGUGGAAGAGAAUAAGCAGAUUUCUGUAAAGUAGAUUUCUGGUGCUAGUGAAAAAUAGAGUCCUCAAAUGCUUUUGUAUCAUCAAUAGUUUGCAUCUCAGCACGAGGUACAGUAUGGUCUCUUGACCACUGGACUUACCCUCUCCUUUCCUGACCACAGUCAUUAGUGGCUGUUUGUUGCCCUUUUCUUGUGUCCCACUUUUCACUGUGGAGAUUUGUAGAAGCUUCUUCCACACUUGUUGGCGUCCAAGACCUCUCUCCAUUCUCUGCUGCAGCUAGAGAUCCAGGCAUCUUCCUCUCAGGACUCCCAGCCCAUGGCCCCCCUAAUUUGCCUUUCUGUGGGCCAAGGUGGAAAGAAUAGGGAAAGUUCCUGGCUCUUUGCCCUGGAACAAGGAUGAUGGGAGUAAAGGUCAUCUGAAUCAGCAGGCCUCUGCCUCUUUCCCAAAAAGUAAUGAUGUUCAAAAGAGCACAUCCAUGUCUGGAGAGAACCCACAGUUUUGUUUUCCUCCAUGGUCCCAGAGUGUACUAGAAGAAAUGUAAGUUCUUGGAGUUUAGACAAAGGAGUGUGACUAAUAACCCUAAAUUGUUGGCAAACUUGGAGUUUCAUCACACAUGGAAGAUCAGUAAUUGGCUGUGCCAGCAUGUCAGCAGUUAAGAAGUGUUGGUCUUUUUUACCACGAUUUAGACAGAUUCCCAGAAGCUGUCUUUGAAUCAAUAGCAAAGUAUCUUAAAAAAAAAAAAAAAGAACUGAUGAUCAUUCCUGAUACUUAUUUGAAAACUAGGGUCAGAUUCUAAAGAGGUGUUGAAGUGGCGCUGAAGCUGGACCAAAUCCAUGUGUGGGCUCCUCUACCAGUUAGUUGACAGCAUCAUGCAAGGCAACUCUCUUCAGCCCUC